UGAUCAUAUAAUGUCUCAACUAAACAUCAUCAUACAAAACAACUAACAAUCACAUAAUCAACAAGGAGUAUGGCGAUUAAACUAACCGAAAGUUAAUGCCUCGAGGGGGGGGGGUUCUCUUCUGUGUACGUAAAAGAUGGAGGAAUAGGGUUUUGUUUGAAUUGUGAAACCUUAUACAAGAUAUACGUAAUUAAUGGGGAGGGAAGGUAGGCUCGAUUUGGGCCUGAGAUAAAACAAGGAACCAAAUACAAUUUAUCAUGUGAGCACACAAUGGCCGACCCAAGUUACUUAUCUCUAAUUUCCACUUGGGCUUUACUAAGCCCAUGCGCAAAUGUGACCUAACUGGACAUAUAUGUGCGCUCGGGUUGGACUCAAGAAACUCGCGGCCCGCAAGUGUCGAGUAAUUCCGCGGCCCAUAUAAGUUAGUUUCCUGAAUUUACUAAAUUACACAAUUAAUCGCAUCACGAUUUCUUGUAACCAUAUACACAUAACACUUAAUAGUAUUCAAUUAUAACUUUCAAGUAAUUUAAACAUGUAUUCGACAGCUAUCGUUUAAUAACAAAGUUCAUAUGGUAUUCAAGUGAAGUACCACAUACAGUAAAGCAUGAAACGAUCAGUACAGAAAGGAAUAGAGUUUGAAAAUACGAGUUGUCACAUCAUCCCCAAGUUGAAAGAAAUUUCGUCCAGAAAUUUAGCACGUAGUUACUGAGGAAGCUAGUUAGGUUGCGUGGUUUCCUGGUUUUUCCUAGGGUGUCACAAAUAUGAUAUAAUAGAAAUUACGCAUUAAUUAAGCAGCGUACAUAUUUGAUGAACCUAUUUAAAAAAAUAUUAAUUAACUUUUUUUAAUCUAUACUUUGUAAUACUUUAAAAUAUGAAAGAAUAAAAACAAUUUAAUUACAGGACCCAGAUAUAAUACUUUCUUAAUUCAAAUAUCCUUUCUUUUAUGAAAGUACAACAAUUUCAAUCCGAUGAUGAGGGGGGUGUAGUUAGACUAGAGGGUAUGGGGGCUGGCUGA
Molecule: long non-coding RNA, 1015 nt
Filed under: Helianthus annuus (common sunflower)
Lineage: Eukaryota; Viridiplantae; Streptophyta; Magnoliopsida; Asterales; Asteraceae
Description: hypothetical non coding rna
Source: RNAcentral